UUAUAAGAGACAGCAGCCGCCACGGGAAUACAGAGGGUGCGAGCGUUAAUCGGAUUUACUGGGCGUAAAGCGUGCGUAGGCGGCUUCUUAAGUCGGAUGUGAAAUCCCUGAGCUUAACUUAGGAAUUGCAUUCGAUACUGGGAAGCUAGAGUAUGGGAGAGGAUGGUAGAAUUCCAGGUGUAGCGGUGAAAUGCGUAGAGAUCUGGAGGAAUACCGAUGGCGAAGGCAGCCAUCUGGCCUAAUACUGACGCUGAGGUGCGAAAGCGUGGGGAGCAAACAGGAUUAGAUACCCCGGUAGUCCCUGUCUCUUAUAC
RNAcentral lists this ribosomal RNA (314 nucleotides) under uncultured bacterium. RNAcentral's name for it is "partial 16S ribosomal RNA". It matches the Rfam family "Bacterial small subunit ribosomal RNA", at positions 499 to 807 of the family's 1533-position model. The record is from RNAcentral.